Molecule: small nucleolar RNA, 74 nt
Filed under: Salvator merianae (Argentine black and white tegu)
Lineage: Eukaryota; Metazoa; Chordata; Lepidosauria; Squamata; Teiidae
Description: Small nucleolar RNA SNORD99 (ENSSMRG00000002844.1)
Rfam family: Small nucleolar RNA SNORD99
About the family: The members of this family belong to the C/D class of snoRNAs which contain the C (UGAUGA) and D (CUGA) box motifs. Most of the members of the box C/D family function in directing site-specific 2'-O-methylation of substrate RNAs.
Source: Rfam by way of RNAcentral
CUCGGUCGAUGAUGACUCAAGUUUCUUAUGGUGACGGCUGGAUGAAUCCUGCGGAUAUGGGGCUGAGACUGAGC